Molecule: ribosomal RNA, 497 nt
Filed under: uncultured bacterium
Lineage: Bacteria
Description: partial 16S ribosomal RNA
Rfam family: Bacterial small subunit ribosomal RNA
Source: RNAcentral
GAUGAACGCUGGCGGCGUGCCUAAUACAUGCAAGUCGAGCGAACGGACGAGAAGCUUGCUUUUCUGAUGUUAGCGGCGGACGGGUGAGUAACACGUGGAUAACCUACCUAUAAGACUGGGAUAACUUCGGGAAACCGGAGCUAAUACCGGAUAAUAUUUUGAACCGCAUGGUUCAAAAGUGAAAGACGGUCUUGCUGUCACUUAUAGAUGGAUCCGCGCUGCAUUAGCUAGUUGGUAAGGUAACGGCUUACCAAGGCAACGAUGCAUAGCCGACCUGAGAGGGUGGUCGGCCACACUGGAACUGAGACAUGGUCCAGACUCCUACGGGAAGCAGCAGUAGGGAAUCUUCCGCAAUGGGCGAAAGCCUGACGGAGCAACGCCGCGUGAGUGAUGAAGGUCUUCGGAUCGUAAAACUCUGUUAUUAGGGAAGAACAUAUGUGUAAGUAACUGUGCACAUCUUGACGGUACCUAAUCAGAAAGCCACGGCUAACUACGUG